Molecule: ribosomal RNA, 2218 nt
Filed under: metagenome
Description: bacterial LSU rRNA
Rfam family: Bacterial large subunit ribosomal RNA
Source: RNAcentral
UAAUAUUUGCAGCGAGGUUAAGGAACUGGAGUUCCGGAGCCGCAGCGAGAGCGAGUCUGAAAAGGGCGUAUGAAGUUGCAGGUAUUAGACCCGAAACCGGGUGACCUAUCCAUGAGCAGGCUGAAGCGGUGGUAAGACACCGUGGAGGGCCGCACCCACGUCUGUUGAAAAAGCCGGGGAUGACUUGUGGAUAGCGGAGAAAUUCCAAUCGAACUCGGAGAUAGCUGGUUCUCCCCGAAAUAGCUUUAGGGCUAGCGUUAUUUUAGAUUACCGGAGGUAAAGCACUGAAUGGUCUAGGGGCCGCGAGGUUACCAAAGCCUAUCAAACUCUGAAUGCCGGAUAAUUGAUGAAUAGCAGUCAGACUGUGUGAGAUAAGUCUCAUAGUCAAAAGGGAAACAGCCCAGAUCUACAGCUAAGGUCCCAAAUGAACACUAAGUGGAAAAUGAUGUGAAACUGCGAAGACAACCAGGAUGUUGGCUUAGAAGCAGCCACUCAUUCAAAGAGUGCGUAAUAGCUCACUGGUCGAGUGGUUUUGCGCAGAAAAUGUAACGGGGCUAAGUGUUCAACCGAAGCUUAGGCAUUGCAGUAAUGCAUUGGGUAGGGGAGCGUCGUAUGCGGGGCGAAGUCAGAGCGGAAGCACUGGUGGACUGCAUACGAGUGAGAAUGCCGGAAUAAGUAGCGAGAAUUAUGUGAGAAUCAUAAUGGCCGAAAAUCUAAGGUUUCUUGGGGAAGGUUCGUCCGCCCAAGGUUAGUCGGGAGCUAAGCUCAGGCCGAAAGGCGUAGGCGAUGCACAUACGGUAGAAAUUCCGUAACCACCGAACAUUUAAGCUAGAGGGACGCUUUCUUUAAGGUUAUCCCGGGCGAUGGUUGCCCCGGGCGUAAGGGACCGAAAUAUAGUAGGGAAGUAACUGGCGAGAGAGACGAGAAAAGCUCUGGUGUAUACUAAGGUGCCCGUACCGCAAACCGACACAGGUAGGUAGGAAGAAGAUUCUAAGGCCAACGGGAGAAGGGUUGUUAAGGAACUCGGCAAGUUGACCCCGUAACUUCGGAAUAAGGGGUGCUCACGAGAGUGAGCCGCAGAGAAUAGGCCCAGGCAACUGUUUACCAAAAACACAGGUUUGUGCUAAAUCGAAAGAUGACGUAUACGAGCUGACGCCUGCCCGGUGCUGGAAGGUUAAAAGGAGAUGUGCAAGCAUUGAAUUGAAGCCCCAGUAAACGGCGGCCGUAACUAUAACGGUCCUAAGGUAGCGAAAUUCCUUGUCAGGUAAGUUCUGACCCGCACGAAAGGCGUAAUGAUUUGGGCACUGUCUCAACAGCCCGCCCGGCGAAAUUGUAGUACCGGUGAAGAUGCCGGUUUCCCGCGACAAGACGGAAAGACCCCAUGGAGCUUUACUGUAGCCUGAUAUUGGGUUUCGGUGUUGCAUGCACAGGAUAGAUGGGACGCUAGGAAAGAAGCGCUUUGGCGUUUCUGGAGCGGACGUUGGGAUACCAUCCUUGCGACAUUGGAAUUCUAACCUGCGCCUCUGAAUCGAGGCGGGGGACAUUGUCAGGUGGGCAGUUUGACUGGGGCGGUCGCCUCCUAAAAAGUAGCGGAGGCGUUCAAAGGUUCGUUCGAUCUGGACGGAAACCAGAUGAUUGAGUGCAAACGCAUAAACGAGCCUGACUGCGAGACUGACGGGUCGAGCAGAGACGAAAGUCGGAGUUAGUGAUCCGGUGGUAUGUGAGUGGAAAUGCCAUCGCUCAACGGAUAAAAGUUACCCUGGGGAUAACAGGCUGAUCUCCCCCAAGAGUCCACAUCGACGGGGAGGUUUGGCACCUCGAUGUCGGCUCAUCGCAUCCUGGGGCUGAAGUAGGUCCCAAGGGUUGGGCUGUUCGCCCAUUAAAGCGGUACGCGAGCUGGGUUCAGAACGUCGUGAGACAGUUCGGUCCCUAUCUGUCGUGGGCGCAGGAUAUUUGAAAGGCGCUGUCCCUAGUACGAGAGGACCGGGAUGGACGAACCUCUGGUGCACCAGUUGUCACGCCAGUGGCACAGCUGGGCAGCUAUGUUCGGAUCGGAUAAACGCUGAAAGCAUCUAAGCGUGAAGCCGGCCUUAAGAUAAGAUAUCCCACUGAGUCAAUCAGGUAAGACCCCUUGAAGACUACAAGGUUGAUAGGCACACAGUGUAAGCGGAGUGAUUCGUUCAGCUAGCGUGUACUAAUAGGUCGAGGGCUUGACCCC